Molecule: ribosomal RNA, 473 nt
Filed under: uncultured organism
Description: partial 16S ribosomal RNA
Rfam family: Bacterial small subunit ribosomal RNA
Source: RNAcentral
ACACUCCUACGGGAGGCAGCAGUGGAGAAUAUUGCACAAUGGGCGCAAGCCUGAUGCAGCCAUGCCGCGUGUGUGAAGAAGGCCUUCGGGUUGUAAAGCACUUUCAGCGGGGAGGAAGGCGAUACGGUUAAUAACCGUGUUGAUUGACGUUACCCGCAGAAGAAGCACCGGCUAACUCCGUGCCAGCAGCCGCGGUAAUACGGAGGGUGCAAGCGUUAAUCGGAAUUACUGGGCGUAAAGCGCACGCAGGCGGUCUGUCAAGUCGGAUGUGAAAUCCCCGGGCUCAACCUGGGAACUGCAUUCGAAACUGGCAGGCUUGAGUCUUGUAGAGGGGGGUAGAAUUCCAGGUGUAGCGGUGAAAUGCGUAGAGAUCUGGAGGAAUACCGGUGGCGAAGGCGGCCCCCUGGACAAAGACUGACGCUCAGGUGCGAAAGCGUGGGGAGCAAACAGGAUUAGAAACCCUGGUAGUCCCA